CGCAUGCUCCCGGCCGCCAUGGCGGCCGCGGUUAAUUCGAUUGGAAUUCCUCCUACGGGAGGCAGCAGUGGGGAAUAUUGCACAAUGGGCGCAAGCCUGAUGCAGCGACGCCGCGUGAGGGAUGAAGGCCUUCGGGUUGUAAACCUCUUUCAGUAGGGAAGAAGCUGGUCCUUUGGGGUUGGUGACGGUACCUGCAGAAGAAGCGCCGGCUAACUACGUGCCAGCAGCCGCGGUAAUACGUAGGGCGCAAGCGUUAUCCGGAAUUAUUGGGCGUAAAGAGCUCGUAGGCGGUUUGUCGCGUCUGCCGUGAAAGUCCGGGGCUUAACUCCGGAUCUGCGGUGGGUACGGGCAGACUAGAGUGCAGUAGGGGAGACUGGGAAUUCCUGGUGUAGCGGUGAAAUGCGCAGAUAUCAGGAGGAACACCGAUGGCGAAGGCAGGUCUCUGGGCUGUAACUGACGCUGAGGAGCGAAAGCAUGGGGAGCGAACAGGAUUAGAUACCCUGGUAGUCCAUGCCGUAAACGUUGGGCACUAGGUGUGGGGGACAUUCCACGUUUCCCGCGCCGGUAGCUAACGCAUUAAGUGGCCCCGCUGGGGGAGGACGGGCCGCAAGGGUUAAACUCAAAGGAAUUGACGGGGGCCCGCACAAGCGGCGGAGCAUGCGGAUUAAUUCGAUGCACGCGAAGAACCUUACAAGGGUUGACAUGACCGGAAUGAUGCACAGAGUGUCAGCCAUUGUGGCCGGUUACAA
This 749-nucleotide ribosomal RNA is filed under the name uncultured Arthrobacter sp. Its description in RNAcentral is "bacterial SSU rRNA". It matches the Rfam family "Bacterial small subunit ribosomal RNA", at positions 277 to 1037 of the family's 1533-position model. The record is from RNAcentral. Lineage: Bacteria; Bacillati; Actinomycetota; Actinomycetes; Micrococcales; Micrococcaceae.